This 401-nucleotide ribosomal RNA is filed under the name uncultured bacterium. Its description in RNAcentral is "partial 16S ribosomal RNA". It matches the Rfam family "Bacterial small subunit ribosomal RNA", at positions 355 to 747 of the family's 1533-position model. The record is from RNAcentral.
UGGGGAAUCUUCCGCAAUGACGAAAGUCUGACGGAGCAACGCCGCGUGAGUGAAGAAGGUUUUCGGAUCGUAAAACUCUGUCUUUUGGGGCGAACGUGAGUAUGGUGAAACAAUCAUAGUCAGUGACGGUACCAAAGGAGGAAGCCACGGCUAACUACGUGCCAGCAGCCGCGGUAAUCGUAGGUGGCAAGCGUUGUCCGGAAUUAUUGGGCGUAAAGAGCGCGUAGGCGGGAUAGUCAGUCUGUUGUAAAAGUGCGGGGCUCAACCCCGUGAUCGCAAUGGAAACAGCUAUUCUUGAGUGCNGGAGAGGAAAGUGGAAAUUCCCAGUGUAGCGGUGAAAUGCGUAGAUAUUGGGAGGAACACCAGUGGCGAAGGCGACUUUCUGGACUGUGUCUGACGCU